GUCCACGCCCUAAACGAUGUCGACUAGGUGUUCGGGGAGGAGACUCCUUGAGUACCGCAGCUAACGCGUGAAGUCGACCGCCUGGGGAGUACGGUCGCAAGAUUAAAACUCAAAGGAAUUGACGGGGACCCGCACAAGCGGUGGAUGAUGUGGAUUAAUUCGAUGCAACGCGAAAAACCUUACCUACCCUUGACAUGCCUGGAACCCUGCUGAGAGGUGGGGUGCCUUCGGGAGCCAGGACACAGGUGCUGCAUGGCUGUCGU
This 263-nucleotide ribosomal RNA is filed under the name uncultured bacterium. RNAcentral's name for it is "partial 16S ribosomal RNA". It matches the Rfam family "Bacterial small subunit ribosomal RNA", at positions 793 to 1055 of the family's 1533-position model. The record is from RNAcentral.